CGGAGGCGCGAGCGUUACCGGAUUACUGGCGUAAGGCGUGUAGCGGCUUGGGCGUCCAUGUGAAGGCCACGGCUCAACCGUGGAGGAGCGUGGAUACGCUCAGGCUAGAGGUGGAGAGGUGGUGGAAUUCCCGGAGUAGCGGUGAAAUGCGCAGAUACCGGGAGAACGCCGAUGGCGAAGGCAGCCACCUGGUCCACUUCUGACGCUGAGGCGCGAAAGCGUGGAGCAAACCGGAUU
This 237-nucleotide ribosomal RNA is filed under the name uncultured bacterium. RNAcentral describes it as "partial 16S ribosomal RNA". It matches the Rfam family "Bacterial small subunit ribosomal RNA", at positions 527 to 779 of the family's 1533-position model. The record is from RNAcentral.